UACGAAGGGGGCUAGCGUUGCUCGGAAUUACUGGGCGUAAAGCGCACGUAGGCGGAUUGUUAAGUCGGGGGUGAAAUCCUGGAGCUCAACUCCAGAACUGCCUUCGAUACUGGCGAUCUCGAGUCCGGGAGAGGUGAGUGGAACUGCGAGUGUAGAGGUGAAAUUCGUAGAUAUUCGCAAGAACACCAGUGGCGAAGGCGGCUCACUGGCCCGGUACUGACGCUGAGGUGCGAAAGCGUGGGAGCAACAGGG
RNAcentral lists this ribosomal RNA (252 nucleotides) under uncultured bacterium. RNAcentral's name for it is "partial 16S ribosomal RNA". It matches the Rfam family "Bacterial small subunit ribosomal RNA", at positions 524 to 776 of the family's 1533-position model. The record is from RNAcentral.